This 66-nucleotide transfer RNA is filed under the name Ornithorhynchus anatinus (platypus). It matches the Rfam family "tRNA". Rfam says of the family: Transfer RNA (tRNA) molecules are approximately 80 nucleotides in length. Their secondary structure includes four short double-helical elements and three loops (D, anti-codon, and T loops). Lineage: Eukaryota; Metazoa; Chordata; Mammalia; Monotremata; Ornithorhynchidae. The record is from Rfam by way of RNAcentral.
AGCAGUGGGGCUUAAUGGAAAGAGCAUGGGAGUCAAAAGACCUGGGUUCUAAUCCCAGCUCUGCCA